This 348-nucleotide ribosomal RNA is filed under the name Drusus chrysotus. RNAcentral's name for it is "partial small subunit ribosomal RNA". Lineage: Eukaryota; Metazoa; Arthropoda; Insecta; Trichoptera; Limnephilidae. The record is from RNAcentral.
UAGUAAGAGUUAUUUGCUUGAAACUUAAAGAAUCUGGCAGUAUUUUAAUCUAAUUAGAGGAACCUGUUUAUUAAUUGAUAUUCCACGAUUAAUUUUACUUUGAUUAUUGAAUUUGUAUAUCAUUGUUAUAAAAAUUUUUUUAAUAAAAAAAAAUUUAAUUAUUUAUAUUUAAAUUUAUAUCAAAUCAAGAUGCAGUCUAUGUUAAAGAAUUUUAUGGGUUAUCAUGAAAAAAUUUAUGGAUAUAAAAUGAAAUUUAAUUUAUAAAGUAGAUUUAUAAGUAAUUUAAAUAAUUUUAUUUAAAUGAUUUAAGUUCUGAAAUAUGUACAUAUUGCCCGUCAUUUUCAUUUU